This 309-nucleotide ribosomal RNA is filed under the name uncultured bacterium. RNAcentral describes it as "bacterial SSU rRNA". It matches the Rfam family "Bacterial small subunit ribosomal RNA", at positions 28 to 334 of the family's 1533-position model. The record is from RNAcentral.
GAUGAACGCUAGCGGCAGGCCUAACACAUGCAAGUCGAGGGGUAACAUAGAGUGCUUGCAUUCUGAUGACGACCGGCGCACGGGUGCGUAACGCGUAUACAAUCUACCUUAUACUGGAGAAUAGCCCAGAGAAAUUUGGAUUAAUGCUCCAUAGUAUGUAGAGUUCGCCUGGACACUAUAUUAAAGGUUACGGUAUAAGAUGAGUAUGCGUCCUAUUAGCUGGAUGGUGUGGUAACGGCACACCAUGGCGACGAUAGGUAGGGGCCCUGAGAGGGGGAUCCCCCACACUGGUACUGAGACACGGACCAG